Cordylochernes scorpioides is the source of this 92-nucleotide non-coding RNA. The record is from the annotation of a GenBank genome assembly. NCBI's taxonomy places the organism in Eukaryota, Metazoa, Arthropoda, Arachnida, Pseudoscorpiones, Chernetidae.
CCCUCGAUAGCUCAGUUGAGUUGGCAGAGCGGAGGACUGUAGAUGUUACAACGGUGAUCCUUAGGUCGCUGGUUCAAAUCUGGCUCGAGGGA